CAGUAGCCGCGGUAAUACGAAGGUCCCGAGCGUUGUUCGGAAUCACUGGGCGUAAAGGGAGCGUAGGCGGCGUGGUAAGUCAGAUGUGAAAUCCCGGGGCUCAACCCCGGAACUGCAUCCGAUACUGCCAUGCUAGAGGAUUGGAGAGGUAGCUGGAAUUCUUGGUGUAGCAGUGAAAUGCGUGGAGAUCAAGAGGAACACUCGUGGCGAAAGCGAGCUACUGGACAAUAACUGACGCUGAGGCUCGAAGGCCAGGGUAGCGAAAGGGAUUAGAUACCCGCGUAGUCCCUGUCUCUUAUAC
RNAcentral lists this ribosomal RNA (301 nucleotides) under uncultured bacterium. RNAcentral's name for it is "partial 16S ribosomal RNA". It matches the Rfam family "Bacterial small subunit ribosomal RNA", at positions 509 to 807 of the family's 1533-position model. The record is from RNAcentral.